Parasteatoda tepidariorum (common house spider) is the source of this 510-nucleotide long non-coding RNA. RefSeq lists it as uncharacterized. The record is from RefSeq and is a predicted model, not a curated record. Lineage: Eukaryota; Metazoa; Arthropoda; Arachnida; Araneae; Theridiidae.
UCCAUUUUAGUAUGGAAAUAUUGAGAUAAACUGUCGCAGAUAAUAACUAUAUUUUCCUGGUGAGCUAAUUUUUACUGCUUUGACUUGAGCGAUAUUUUAAGGACAGAUUUUUGUCUACAAUUUUUUUUGGAAACGAGAUGGAUGAGCCGAAAAGGGAAAAUAAGCCUUCAAAUUACAGAUGUAUCUUGUGCUGGUUCUGCUGGCCGAAAGAAACGGAUAGCGAUGUAGAAGCAGAAGGCUUUCCCCGCUCUGUCGAUGAUGCUCUGCAAGACAACAGAGAAGCGCAAAAACUUAUUGAAUCUUAGGCAAAAGACAGUCAGACUAUGUUCGACAAACAUCCAAAAAUCUCGUCGAUCAGAAUAGAACUAAGUAAAAACGAAACGGUAUGAUUUAUUUUUCAGGUUUGUCAAACUUUAACAUAUAUCACGAAAGAAAUGGAUGACAUCACGUUAACUUAGCUUACGUUGAUUAUGUGAAAUGUUAGACAAGAGUUUUAAAAUAUUUAUGUAU